This is a ribosomal RNA of Lupinus angustifolius (narrow-leaved blue lupine), 161 nucleotides long. It matches the Rfam family "Eukaryotic small subunit ribosomal RNA", at positions 1667 to 1823 of the family's 1831-position model. The record is from Rfam. Lineage: Eukaryota; Viridiplantae; Streptophyta; Magnoliopsida; Fabales; Fabaceae.
CACAGCCCGUCGCUCCUACCGAUUGAAUGAUCCGGUGAAGUGUUCAGAUUGCGGUGACGUGGGUGGUUCUCUGUCAGCGAUGUUGUGGGUCGUCCAUUGAAUAUUACCAUUUACAGGAAGGAGAAUUUGUAACAAGGUUUCCUUAGGUGAACAUGUGGAAG